UUUAUUCUUACAUAUUAGGUUCUCUUCUCACCCAAACCCUUCUUUCAUAUUUCAUGUAUUUCCUUCAAUAUUUCAAUUUCUUUCUUUUUUGAAAUCCCUAAUAUUCUAAUCCUCUUUUUGUUUCUUUUCCGGCAACAGACAAGUAACAGAUUGAAGCGGCAAUGGAAGGAACCAAACAAAGACACACCGUCGGAACCACUAUUAGCAAGGACACAUAGCAGGAACCAGUUCAAGUGGUAUUAUUAUUAUUAUUAAUGAUUAUUUGUUUUUUUUAAUGAUGUUUUGGUUUGAUGGUUUGCUUUGUGACAAUUUUAGUUGAUGUUAAUUUUAUUGUUCUGUUAUUUAUA
RNAcentral lists this long non-coding RNA (347 nucleotides) under Trifolium pratense (red clover). RNAcentral describes it as "long non-coding RNA (TPRA_LNC008960)". The record is from RNAcentral. Lineage: Eukaryota; Viridiplantae; Streptophyta; Magnoliopsida; Fabales; Fabaceae.